AGGGAUAUAGCUCAGUGACAUAGCACCUGCUUGGCAAGUACAAGGUCUUGAGUUCGAUUCUCAAUGCUUCCC
RNAcentral lists this transfer RNA (72 nucleotides) under Cavia porcellus (domestic guinea pig). It matches the Rfam family "tRNA". From Rfam's summary of the family: Transfer RNA (tRNA) molecules are approximately 80 nucleotides in length. Their secondary structure includes four short double-helical elements and three loops (D, anti-codon, and T loops). Further hydrogen bonds mediate the characteristic L-shaped molecular structure. tRNAs have two regions of fundamental functional importance: the anti-codon, which is responsible for specific mRNA codon recognition, and the 3' end, to which the tRNAs corresponding amino acid is attached (by aminoacyl-tRNA synthetases). tRNAs cope with the degeneracy of the genetic code in two manners: having more than one tRNA (with a specific anti-codon) for a particular amino acid; and 'wobble' base-pairing, i.e. permitting non-standard base-pairing at the 3rd anti-codon position. Lineage: Eukaryota; Metazoa; Chordata; Mammalia; Rodentia; Caviidae. The record is from Rfam by way of RNAcentral.